AAAUAAAUCACAUAGAGAUCUUGUUAUAAAUAAAUAUUCUGAUUUAAUAGGUUUGGGGUGGGGUCUAAGAUUCUACAUUUCUAGCAUACUCCCAUGCGAUCUCAUU
Molecule: microRNA precursor, 106 nt
Filed under: Marmota monax (woodchuck)
Lineage: Eukaryota; Metazoa; Chordata; Mammalia; Rodentia; Sciuridae
Source: RNAcentral